UUAAGCGACUAAGCGUACACGGUGGAUGCCCUGGCAGUCAGAGGCGAUGAAGGGCGUGCUAAUCUGCGAUAAGCGCCGGUAAGGUGAUAUGAACCGUUAUAACCGGCGAUACCCGAAUGGGGAAACCCAGUGUGAUUCGUCACACUAUCAUUAACUGAAUCCAUAGGUUAAUGAGGCGAACCGGGGGAACUGAAACAUCUAAGUACCCCGAGGAAAAGAAAUCAACCGAGAUUCCCCCAGUAGCGGCGAGCGAACGGGGAGGAGCCCAGAGCCUGAAUCAGCAUGUGUGUUAGUGGAAGCGUCUGGAAAGGCGCGCGAUACAGGGUGACAGCCCCGUACACAAAAGCGCAUGUGCUGUGAGCUCGAUGAGUAGGGCGGGACACGUGGUAUCCUGUCUGAAUAUGGGGGGACCAUCCUCCAAGGCUAAAUACUCCUGACUGACCGAUAGUGAACCAGUACCGUGAGGGAAAGGCGAAAAGAACCCCGGCGAGGGGAGUGAAAAAGAACCUGAAACCGUGUACGUACAAGCAGUGGGAGCACNGUGUGACUGCGUACCUUUUGUAUAAUGGGUCAGCGACUUAUAUUCUGUAGCAAGGUUAACCGUAUAGGGGAGCCGGAGGGAAACCGAGUCUUAACCGGGCGUUAAGUUGCAGGGUAUAGACCCGAAACCCGGUGAUCUAGCCAUGGGCAGGUUGAAGGUUGGGUAACACUAACUGGAGGACCGAACCGACUAAUGUUGAAAAAUUAGCGGAUGACCUGUGGCUGGGGGUGAAAGGCCAAUCAAACCGGGAGAUAGCUGGUUCUCCCCGAAAGCUAUUUAGGUAGCGCCUCGUGAAUUCAUCUCCGGGGGUAGAGCACUGUUUCGGCUAGGGGGCCAUCCCGGCUUACCAACCCGAUGCAAACUGCGAAUACCGGAGAAUGUUAUCACGGGAGACACACGGCGGGUGCUAACGUCCGUCGUGAAGAGGGAAACAACCCAGACCGCCAGCUAAGGUCCCAAAGUCAUGGUUAAGUGGGAAACGAUGUGGGAAGGCCCAGACAGCCAGGAUGUUGGCUUAGAAGCAGCCAUCAUUUAAAGAAAGCGUAAUAGCUCACUGGUCGAGUCGGCCUGCGCGGAAGAUGUAACGGGGCUAAACCAUGCACCGAAGCUGCGGCAGCGAACGUAUCACCCAAGACAACUUUACGGAGUUGACGAUUGACGGAGCGAAGCGACGUCAAAGCGUUCAUUAAAGUCGAGUUGGCUUAGGGAUACGUUCGUUGGGUAGGGGAGCGUUCUGUAAGCCUGUGAAGGUGUGUCGUGAGGCAUGCUGGAGGUAUCAGAAGUGCGAAUGCUGACAUAAGUAACGAUAAAGCGGGUGAAAAGCCCGCUCGCCGGAAGACCAAGGGUUCCUGUCCAACGUUAAUCGGGGCAGGGUGAGUCGACCCCUAAGGCGAGGCCGAAAGGCGUAGUCGAUGGGAAACGGGUUAAUAUUCCCGUACUUGGUGUUACUGCGAAGGGGGGACGGAGAAGGCUAUGUUGGCCGGGCGACGGUUGUCCCGGUUUAAGCGUGUAGGUGUGUGUUCCAGGUAAAUCCGGUUCACUUUAACACUGAGGCGUGACGACGAGGCACUACGGUGCUGAAGCAACAAAUGCCCUGCUUCCAGGAAAAGCCUCUAAGCAUCAGGUAACACGAAAUCGUACCCCAAACCGACACAGGUGGUCAGGUAGAGAAUACCAAGGCGCUUGAGAGAACUCGGGUGAAGGAACUAGGCAAAAUGGUGCCGUAACUUCGGGAGAAGGCACGCUGACACGUAGGUGAAGUGAUUUACUCAUGGAGCUGAAGUCAGUCGAAGAUACCAGCUGGCUGCAACUGUUUAUUAAAAACACAGCACUGUGCAAACACGAAAGUGGACGUAUACGGUGUGACGCCUGCCCGGUGCCGGAAGGUUAAUUGAUGGGGUCAGCGCAAGCGAAGCUCCUGAUCGAAGCCCCGGUAAACGGCGGCCGUAACUAUAACGGUCCUAAGGUAGCGAAAUUCCUUGUCGGGGAAGUUCCGACCUGCACGAAUGGCGUAAUGAUGGCCAGGCUGUCUCCACCCGAGACUCAGUGAAAUUGAACUCGCUGUGAAGAUGCAGUGUACCCGCGGCAAGACGGAAAGACCCCGUGAACCUUUACUAUAGCUUGACACUGAACAUUGAGCCUUGAUGUGUAGGAUAGGUGGGAGGCUUUGAAGUGUGGACGCCAGUCUGCAUGGAGCCGACCUUGAAAUACCACCCUUUAAUGUUUGAUGUUCUAACGUGGACCCGUAAUCCGGGUUGCGGACAGUGUCUGGUGGGUAGUUUGACUGGGGCGGUCUCCUCCUAAAGAGUAACGGAGGAGCACGAAGGUUGGCUAAUCCUGGUCGGACAUCAGGAGGUUAGUGCAAUGGCAUAAGCCAGCUUGACUGCGAGCGUGACGGCGCGAGCAGGUGCGAAAGCAGGUCAUAGUGAUCCGGUGGUUCUGAAUGGAAGGGCCAUCGCUCAACGGAUAAAAGGUACUCCGGGGAUAACAGGCUGAUACCGCCCAAGAGUUCAUAUCGACGGCGGUGUUUGGCACCUCGAUGUCGGCUCAUCACAUCCUGGGGCUGAAGUAGGUCCCAAGGGUAUGGCUGUUCGCCAUUUAAAGUGGUACGCGAGCUGGGUUUAGAACGUCGUGAGACAGUUCGGUCCCUAUCUGCCGUGGGCGCUGGAGAACUGAGGGGGGCUGCUCCUAGUACGAGAGGACCGGAGUGGACGCAUCACUGGUGUUCGGGUUGUCAUGCCAAUGGCACUGCCCGGUAGCUAAAUGCGGAAGAGAUAAGUGCUGAAAGCAUCUAAGCACGAAACUUGCCCCGAGAUGAGUUCUCCCUGAGACUUAGAGUCUCCUGAAGGAACGUUGAAGACGACGACGUUGAUAGGCCGGGUGUGUAAGCGCAGCGAUGCGUUGAGCUAACCGGUACUAAUGAACCGUGAGGCUUAACCUU
Molecule: ribosomal RNA, 2981 nt
Filed under: Salmonella enterica subsp. enterica serovar Typhimurium str. DT104
Lineage: Bacteria; Pseudomonadati; Pseudomonadota; Gammaproteobacteria; Enterobacterales; Enterobacteriaceae
Description: bacterial LSU rRNA
Rfam family: Bacterial large subunit ribosomal RNA
Source: RNAcentral